Molecule: long non-coding RNA, 1894 nt
Filed under: Olea europaea subsp. europaea
Lineage: Eukaryota; Viridiplantae; Streptophyta; Magnoliopsida; Lamiales; Oleaceae
Source: RNAcentral
UGAAGUUGGCGAAUCUUGAAAUAUUUUUUGAUAGAUAUAAAAAACACAAUCUGAAUUACAUUUGGCACCACAGUUCAAUAGAUACUAUUAGAAGUUUAUGUAUCAUGGCAAAACAAGUAGACAUUAAACAAAAUAUAAAGUACAUCCACGAAAUCAUGUACGAUGUAUUGAGUUUGAGUAGUCAUUCCACAUUUGUGUAGCAAUUUGAUCACUGACUUGUCUCAUUUGAGCUAUUUGACUUGCAUCAAAAUGUAUGACUUCUUAAUCUUGACUUGAUUCUAGUAUGUCUUGAAACACCAUAUUCUCCUCUGAAUACUCUAUGAAUAACUUAUAUAAAGCGUGUUCCUGAUGAAUAAAGUUGUUUAUCGUGCAACAUACAGUAGGGAUUUGUCUUUGCCUACUAAGUGGAUAAUUAGUAAUCAACUUCAAAAUAGGAAAUCUUGCCUUUAAAACUCCAAUGCAACGUUCAAUAAUGUUACGGUACGAGGAGUGUCUGUAGUUGAACAAUUCUUCCUUCCCACGUAGUCUUCCCCGUCCAACAUAGUCACACAGAUGAUAUCUUUGACCUCGAUAACUGUUGUCAAACUUCCUCUGCAGCAUUAACUUUGUUAGUAUUUGAAUCCCAUGUAACACCUGUAUGUCCCAAAAGUUCAGAGAACAUGCGAUGAAUCUUACGCAAGCGGUUCCACUUUCCCUUCAAUCUAUCUAUGCCGUAAUCCAUUUUUGUUGAAGCUAUCAUGGUUUCAUUGAUCCUGUCCCAUUCAUCUUUCGUGAAUGUAGAACAUUGCAAUGCAUUUGAUUUCACUCUCUCAUAAAGAAUUUCGAUAAUAGCGUGUUCAUUUUCGUCUGAUCAUGACAUUGGUUCCUUAUUCCUUACUCUGUGAUCACCAAUGUUGAAGCUAUAUUGAUAUAAAUCAAAUUAUCAUCAAAUAUAUAAAACCUUCUAUAGGCGAUUUGAGAACAUAUUAAUGUGUUUAAUUAUAGUCACAUACCACCAAUUGCUCAAAAGUCUUCAAGUGAAAUGUCAAAUAGCAAAAGCAUACCAAACUUCCUUGAUUAGGCGGUACUGUUCUAAAAAAGCCAUGCAGAAAUGAUCCAUACCAUACUAGAAACUUACUUGAUUAGGCGGUACUGUUCUCUUUUAUUUUCUAGUUCUUUUAUUUUAUUUUUUUCUUGUUUAGCAGGCAAGUAAAAGCUGCUUCUAUUUUCUUUCUUGUUGAGAGUGGAGGGGCAAGGUUCAACUCCUUGUACAGUAAGGUAUUUAUGAAAAGGAUUUUAAGGCACUCAUUUGAUGUUUUCCAGGUAUAUCACCUCUUAUUCUUCAAAAUAACUUGCUAGAUCAGAAUAUCAAGGGAACUUACACUAGAGCAAACUGGGAGAACAUGAAUAUAAUAAAUGUCAUGAAUCAUACUGUAAUGUAAAUGUGCUUUAUUCUUUUAUACAAAUACGAGAAUAUUACUUCAAGAAUGCAAAUUUUUUAUUUAUGCAAAAGAAGGCACAGAAGUACUCGCAUAGAAGAGAAAAUAAAGACCAGUAGAGAAUGAUUAACCAAAUUUCACUACCCCAAUUACUUGGCCACCUUUGAUGUGCUAUGUCAAAUUCCAACAGCUAUUUUUACUUUUAUUCUUACUCUUCUAACAUGCAUUGUGCAUCUAUGCUGUGGACACACACUGUUUUGAGACAAACAACCAACUUUAACAAAUUCCAUCUUGAAGUCUCUGUCGUCCCAUGUAGAAAGUUACAAAUGAUAAGAAAAAGUAGUCCAACCAUCUCACUCAAAAGUUUCUUAUUUUUUAGUUUCUAGAAUUUCAGCAAUACUAUAAUGCCUGAAAACUAAAAUGGCACCUAAAGCAAACUUAGCCCUGAUUUCACUUUAUCAUGAACCAGAAAAAAA